CCUUAAAAUGCUGCCAUUUGCGUGUUGGUGUCCUCAAGUGGAGCACAGCCGCACCUAAAAUUUGUCUCCAGUGAAGUACAUCUAGGUGGAUCUCUCAAAAUUGUCAUUAAAUAAUGCCCCGCAGCUUCUGAAAAUGACAAUUACAUCUACAGUGUGCCUGAUUCUUGAUCCUCCAUAAACAGCCUUUGGAAGAAGAUUCCCAAAGAAAGUGACUUCUCAGAAGCUGUUUGGAAAUAAGGAGCUCAGCAGAGGAGAGAGAGUGCAUAUACAUGUAUGAAGAUGAAAGAGUGGUGCAAUAGUAAGAGUUGAUAGUUGUUCCUGCCAAAGUUUGCAAUGAACUCUCGGUCAAGAGUAGUACUUCAUCCUCAAGAUCCCUGACCAUGCUGACACUGUUUGGAAACCUCCAGCUCCUUUGACUCCAGUGACUUUCUGGUUGUCCACCCUCCUGAUCAUUCUCCAUGGUGCAUCUUCAGAAGUUCUUCCAAAUCUUCUCUCCAGUGGACAACAUCCCUUUAUAUCCUUUAUGUUCUGGCUUGCAGGAAGCAAUCAAAUUCUGGUGAUAAAGCCUACGUGCUGGAAGGUGAUUUUUGGAGACUGCUUAAAAGGAUGGCAGUUAAAGAACAAUACAUACAGUGAAAGAUUGCAUCUUUCAUGUUUGUAAGUGACAUUUUACACAUACAUAUGGAACUAACAGUGUGUCCUGACCUAUUACAGGUAAGUAAAUGCAGUGACAUUAGAAAAGCACUUUAAAAUUUACAUUGUGCAUUAGUGGAAAAGAGGGCCAAACUGAGUAACACAGAACCAUAGUAAAAUAACAGUUGCCUAAUGGAUCGAGAAACUCUGCUGUUCAGAUUCAGGUGUUUUAUUAAGCAACUGCUUCCUCUCAUAAUAUAGCAGCAGGUAUGUCUUGGAUAGCUGGAAUUGUGAUUGCAUAGAGCAGAGCCUGCUGAAGGACUCUACAUCUGGCUUUAGUUCCACCAACAAGCAAAUUGGUGGCCCUGGGUAGGUUCUUCCUGUUCUCAUUGUUCUCAUUGUUACACAGAGAAAUCUGUGGUUACAUCUUUUCCUCAGCUCCCUUUCCUUUGGGAGACCUCCAUUAUUUUUCCCCUCAGUCCCUUUGUAACAACUUAUGUUGCUUAUCAUUUAUUCACCAGCUUGCUAUCACAGAGGAGUAAGAGUGAGCUCUUCUGCAAGGGAAGGUAAGAAGGCAGGAGAAGUGUCCUCACCAACAAAGGUAACAGUCCUGCAGCAUCUGAAUGAGGUUCACAGAGCAGGUCUGGUGAUCAUCAGACAAGCUAUAAGCAAGGUGGUAGGUCUGAGGUUGAGACAGAGCCAGUAAGGCACUAAAACAAGCACAGUUCAAACAAAGACCAGCAACAAGGCCUGGAGCUUAAAUGCAGUUCCUGGGCCAGUGGGGUGAUGUGGGGUGGAGGCUCCAGAUGAAGCUGAUGAGGGCAAUUAGGGUCUCUUGGUGUUCUCAAUGUCCUGAUGCAUUCCAGCAGGUAGAAAAAAUCACAAAGAUUUUGCUUUUGUAAAUGUAAGUCAGAUGUUUAGCAAUGUGAGGGGCUAGAAGAAUGUAAGUCACGAAAGAGCUGUCAGUCGGAGCUGAGAGAGCAGAAGCAGAUCUGGACCAGGAUGCCAGAAAAAUUUUGUACAAGGGGGAUUUGUUAUUUGGACUGUUCCAAGGAUGAAUGGUUUUGGAAUGCCUUGGAACAAGAAAACUGUUUUUUUGUUUUAUUUUUCUCCUUUUUUCCCCAAUCACUUGCCUCCAGUUACCUAACACUGGCAUGGAUAGACAGACUUAAGUUACCUUUUUCAUUAUCUAAAUUUCUGCAGGAAGCUUUUUGCUCCACGUUUUCUUCAUCCACGUUGUUAUUAGUAUGUCUUCAACUUAAUUCUGAAGUACUUGCAUUUGGACACUGAUCUUUGAAAACAAUGAGGACAUUGACUGUUAUUUAGCUCAGCACACUAAUCUGGGAGUAUUUUAGCUUCCAGUACAGUAAAUAUUUAUUGGGCAGUAAAUGCAAUUCCUAAAUAAAUGGAUAUUUGCUAAGAGGAGGAUGGAGAAAGAAAGAGGAGCCAAUCUGAGCAGAGAUAGGAAUUUCAGUUAGUUAUUUAAAUGUUUGCGUGAUGUGGGAAAACAGCUUUUUCACCUAAUGGCUUUUAUGUUUACAAAUAUCUUUGCAUCUUCUUUAAAGGGACUGUCUCACAAAGAAUGAAGGCUUAAAACUCUUCUAUAUCAAAAAUUUGUGAUUUCACCAGUCACUGGCAGGUACAAAUACAUCUCCAUAUAAUACUGUGUUCAAGUUAGUAGACUAGAAGUUUAAGAAGCUGGUUACUGAUUUUCCCUAAACAAAAGGCAGAGGUCAUUAUAAAGCUACCCUUUGAAGAAAAGUCACUUAAGCUUAUUUGAACCCAGAACAGACACAGCCAUUCUCAGGCUAACUUGUUUUCCAUUUUUAUUAAAACAUGUGCCUGGCAGCAGUACUGUCAUAUGAAUCAUGGUUAAAGAAUCCAGUGGAAAUAAGAUAUCUCUUGAAGCCUUUUCUGCCUGUAACACUUACACUGGAAUAUAAAUGACAGAGUGAAACUUUUUUCCUUUUCUCUCUAAUGAGAUGAAGUGAGUGUUUAAGUGUUGAUUAAUGAACUUUUUCUAUCUCCUGUAAAUACAAAUUAAUAAAGUUUUUGGUCUCUCUAGGAAUACGGACUUCUGUAUGCUCUUCCAUUUCCCUUUCAAAGGCAAGCAAGUAUCUUCGCCCUCCUGAGGGUAUUCUGAUGGAGGUGGAGGAGUAUUCUCCUUGAGAGCAGAGAAUUGCCAACCAGCGUUACACUGUGUGUCUUCACAAAGAGUUAACAUUGUCCCUUGGAUUUACACCCUAUUUAAAGCUUCAGAAGAGCAAAAGAAAAGUCCCAGAAAGUACAGAAAUGAAUCUGGGACAUUCUGAAAUGAUUGGGUCUCAGAGUCAAUGCCUGUGGGAAGAUUUUGCUCUGGGACUCCAAGCUGUGCAUCCCAUGGCACUGCUGCUACCACCACUAACUUGCACACCCUGUAUAUUGCUACUGGAAAAGGGAGAUUAUUUGAGGCACCAGUGGCAUAACAGAGCCAUAGGAAUUCAUCGUGCCAGAAGUGGUGCAGAGGGUCAGCCAAAGUGAUAGGGAACAGUUCAUUCUCACAAGAGGCUUGAGGCAUUUUCUCUCAUUUUUUCUCUCUUGAGAAUGAUUGAGAGAUUAGUGUUUGGUAGCCUUGUCAUGUGCUCUCUGCAACUGCUUUGCCUAAAGGACACAUCAAUGAGAAACUUGUGGGAACUUCGUUUUCUAUGUUUUAUUACAGGAAGCUACACAACUAAAGUCAGUCUCCCCUUGCCCAGAGAAAGAUCAAAUGUUCUGCAACAAGAGGCCAGUUUCUGCUUAUCUCUUAUGAGUGUGGUGUGAUGAAGUGGUCAAUGCUAACCUGCUGUUUACAGCAAAUGGGAUCUAGCUCCUGUGAUUCAGUUCUCUGGCUCGUGGUGGGCAUCUAGCAUGCAUAACCCUUUUCUAUAGAGCUGCCAAAGAGGGAACUCACAGGAGCUGAAAUCACUUAGGUAACAGUGUUUGGUACAAUAACGUCUAAUCCUCCUGCAGUAAACAUUGUGCAAUUCUAUAGGUUGAGACAAAACCUUUCUUUCUGUGGCAACAUUUGAGGUAAUAAUCUUCAAAGUAAUGCUAAGCAGCUGUUGUGAAAAAGGUUUUGAUUUUCUUGGUGUUAUCAUUCUGAUGUAAAAUUUGGAAGUUUGAAAUAUUAGCAACUUCUGCCUGUUGGACUGAGAAUGCCUUAUGACAGGCUCUUAAGUUGGGUUUGGGGUCAUUUUGAAAAAAACAUUUAGUGGUUCUCCAGGUACAGAUUCUACUGAUAUACAUGCCAGCAGGCCCUCUGAAAUUAGGGCUUCGUGGUUAAGUCACCUGUUUGUAAAAAUACUGCUGUUGAAUUGUUUUUAUGCAUUUACAAACAAUACAAAGACAAGCAUUUCUAGCAUUUGAGAAGUAAAAUGCUAGUAACAAAUGCUGUAAUGUAAAGUGUACUUUGGACUUUCUAAUAAGUGCUUUAAUAUCAGUAAUAAACUAGUUAGAUAUGUUUGGAAUAACUUGUGGUAUAUAUAUUUUGAAAUCAAUAGAGGAUGCCUUAUCAUGCUGCAUAAACAGUACUGGUAUCAGUUACCUGACCAGUUUUGAUAUCGGAACUGGAAUGUUGUAGGGUUUCUGUAAGCUCAGUCUUGUAGUAGGGAAAAGUGGGUGUGAUAUGUAAAAUAGAAAAAUAUUAACUUUUUUGCUGGAAUUUUCUUACUUUCUUUGCAGCGUGUAGCUUUUUAAUUGUAAAUGUAACUGUUAUUGUCUUCCUGAGACAGUAUUAGCUAGGGGUUUUCUCCUUGUCUCAAAGUGCAUCAUAUUAAACGUGUGAAAGUUUAAGCUCAGAUAAUAUUUCUGCUAUGUAAUGCCUGAUGGUAUUUAUUAGCUGUGUAAUAAUAGUGUUCUUUCCUCUCCACC
Molecule: non-coding RNA, 4521 nt
Organism: Anas platyrhynchos (mallard)
Lineage: Eukaryota; Metazoa; Chordata; Aves; Anseriformes; Anatidae
Source: RefSeq, a predicted model, not a curated record